AAUAACCUUAUUUUUCGUUUUUCCGUGUCCAACGUUUGACCAUUCGUCUUAUUUGAAAUUUUUUGCAAUUAAUAUUUUUAUUGUUAUUAGAUGAUAAAAUACGAAUAGUAAUUUAUAAGUGACUAAUUUUUUUAAGCUUUUGUACAAAUUUUUCAAAUAAGACGAAUGGUCAAACGUUGGACACGAAAAAC
Non-coding RNA from Oryza brachyantha (malo sina), 191 nucleotides. The record is from Rfam. NCBI's taxonomy places the organism in Eukaryota, Viridiplantae, Streptophyta, Magnoliopsida, Poales, Poaceae.